Molecule: long non-coding RNA, 375 nt
Filed under: Lactuca sativa (garden lettuce)
Lineage: Eukaryota; Viridiplantae; Streptophyta; Magnoliopsida; Asterales; Asteraceae
Description: long non-coding RNA (LSAT_LNC006008)
Source: RNAcentral
AUGAACACAUCUUAAAAUGUGUUUCAAAGGGAGAAGGAUGGAUAAGCCAAAAAGGAAUCACGGGUGGCUACGAUUCAGUUUUCCAUCAGAUCUAUAGUCAUUUUGUAAAACUCAUAUCUUGGGCUCUAGAACUCAAACGUACACCAAACCAGUUCCAAAAGUUCAAACAUGGAGUUGGCUAACUUUCUUAAGAAGGCCAACCUCACUGAUAAGGACUUUAUCUAUGGUAAAGAAUGUCAUCUUUUCUGUUAGGUCUGAUCCGGGUCUGUUCUGAUAUGUCAUUUUGUUUUCAUCAUUUCUAAGGCUUGGAAAAGGAUCCAGAGUGAUUCCAAGUUUCUAUAUGUUCCUUAUAUUAUGAAUUUAAGAUCUGGAGAA